GAUGAACGCUAGCUACAGGCUUAACACAUGCAAGUCGCGGGGCAGCAUGGGGGUUGCUUGCAAUCCCCGAUGGCGACCGGCGCACGGGUGAGUAACGCGUAUUCAACCUGCCCUUCACCACGGGAUAACCCGGCGAAAGUCGGACUAAUACCGUAUGUUGUCCAUUGACGGCAUCCGAUUUGGACGAAAGGCUUGGCGGUGAGGGAUGGGGAUGCGUCCGAUUAGCCAGACGGCGGGGUAAUGGCCCACCGUGGCUACGAUCGGUAGGGGUUCUGAGAGGAAGGUCCCCCACACUGGAACUGAGACACGGUCCAGACUCCUACGGGAGGCAGCAGUGAGGAAUAUUGGUCAAUGGGCGUAAGCCUGAACCAGCCAAGUAGCGUGCAGGAUGACGGCCCUAUGGGUUGUAAACUGCUUUUAUGCGGGGAUAAAGUGGCCCACGUGUGGGCUUUUGCAGGUACCGCAUGAAUAAAGACCGGCUAAUUCCGU
RNAcentral lists this ribosomal RNA (489 nucleotides) under uncultured bacterium. RNAcentral describes it as "partial 16S ribosomal RNA". It matches the Rfam family "Bacterial small subunit ribosomal RNA", at positions 28 to 506 of the family's 1533-position model. The record is from RNAcentral.